Mastomys coucha (southern multimammate mouse) is the source of this 139-nucleotide small nuclear RNA. RefSeq annotates it as U4 spliceosomal RNA. The transcript has a single exon. The record is from RefSeq and is a predicted model, not a curated record. NCBI's taxonomy places the organism in Eukaryota, Metazoa, Chordata, Mammalia, Rodentia, Muridae.
AGCUUUGAGCAGUAGCAGUAUCGUAGCCAAUGAGGCUUAUCCAAGGCACGAUUAUUGCUAAUUGAAAACUUUUCCCAAUACCCCAUCAUGACAACUUGAAAUAUAGUCGGCAUUGACAAUUUUUGACAGUCUGUAUGGA